UCCAGACUCCUACGGGAGGCAGCAGUGGGGAAUAUUGCACAAUGGGGGAAACCCUGAUGCAGCGACGCCGCGUGAGCGAUGAAGUAUUUCGGUAUGUAAAGCUCUAUCAGCAGGGAAGAAAAUGACGGUACCUGACUAAGAAGCCCCGGCUAACUACGUGCCAGCAGCCGCGGUAAUACGUAGGGGGCAAGCGUUAUCCGGAUUUACUGGGUGUAAAGGGAGCGUAGACGGCAAUGCAAGCCAGAUGUGAAAGCCCGGGGCUCAACCCCGGGACUGCAUUUGAAACUGUCAGUCUUGAGUACCGGAGAGGUCAUCGGAAUUCCUUGUGUAGCGGUGAAAUGCGUAGAUAUAAGGAAGAACACCAGUGGCGAAGGCGGAUGACUGGACGGCAACUGACGGUGAGGCGCGAAAGCGUGGGGAGCAAACAGGAUUAGAUACCCCCGUA
Molecule: ribosomal RNA, 445 nt
Filed under: uncultured bacterium
Lineage: Bacteria
Description: partial 16S ribosomal RNA
Rfam family: Bacterial small subunit ribosomal RNA
Source: RNAcentral